This is a long non-coding RNA of Apodemus sylvaticus (European woodmouse), 2058 nucleotides long. RefSeq lists it as uncharacterized. The transcript is spliced from 3 exons. The record is from RefSeq and is a predicted model, not a curated record. NCBI's taxonomy places the organism in Eukaryota, Metazoa, Chordata, Mammalia, Rodentia, Muridae.
AAUGUUGCAUGUUUGGAUUUUGUCAUUAAUGACAUAAAGAUGUUAAUUUUUCUACACAAAGAUGAUGGCUGAAGAAGGCAAAGAGCUAUCUAUGUGCUCUGAAAAGGAAGAGGAUCGUGCUGGAGAAGACCUGGAUCCUACAUUACCCAAAAUGAGGCAUAUUAUGAGCAUGGAACCAAUGAACAAAAGAGAGGGAGAACCUCAUCUUAAGGCUUCAGUUGUUGUUAAGGGAGAAGGGCUACUUCCUGAAGGUGGUGAUUCCACAUUUACAGGAGGAAUUGUUAGCAGUGAGAUCCCUCCAGGUGUCCCCUAUGUUGCAGCACUGACUGCAAGUGAAGGCAUGUCCAGUGGGUACACAGUAAGCCAUGCAACAUUUAAUGCUGAUAUAAAACAUCAGGUAAUGCAAGAAAUUCGAAGAUUUGGACGAAGUAAGUACUGGGACAAUGGCUACUAACAGAAGGGGAGUAUCUCCAAAAUUUCUAUUAAAUUUUUUCAUGUAGUAUAUUUUGAUCAUAUUCUUUCUCCUCCCUGACCCUUCCCACUUUCUUAACUACCCAACUAAAUGUUCUGAAUGUCUCCCCUUCUCUCUCAAAAAUAAUAAACAAAAACCCAAAUAAAGGGAAGCAUGUUCAUAUUCACAGACCCACAGAAACACAGACAAGCACAGACAGACAAGCAGGCAGGCAGGCAGGCAGACAGACAGAUAGGCAGGCAUACAGACAGGCAGGCAGGCAGGCAGGGAGGCAGGCAGACAGGCAGGCAAACAGGCAGGCAGGCAGGCAGGCAGACAGGCAGGCAGGCACACACACACACACACACACACACACACACACACACACACACACACGACAUACUACACCAAAAUCAACCAACCAACCAAACUAACUAACUGACAAAAUACAGGAUCGAUUUUAGGUUGGCCAAAUUCUCCUGGGCAUGGGGCCUAGUCUGGAAUAUGAUUGAUAUAUUUUAUGACACUCAAUUGGAGAAAAAUGGUUCUCCUUUUGCUAGAAGGCACUAAUUGCAAAUAGUUUCUUUGCUAAGGGUGGAACUUUGAAUUUCCUAAUCCUUCUCCAGACAAGGAUGCUGUCUGGUUUGAACAUGUGCAUAUCUUAUGCAUAAGUUCAUAUGUGCAUCAGUCCUGCUAUGUCAGAAAGACUGUUUCCUUGGAGUUAUACAUCACCUCUGGUUGUCACAAUUUUUUUUUGUCUCCUCUUCUUGAUAGAUCCCUGCCUGAGUCUUGAGGGGAGGGCUUUGAUGAAGACAUACCAGACAGAGAGCUGCUGAGUCUGCUCUGCACAUUGUCCUCUUGUAGGCCUCGGUGUUAGUUCCUGUCUGCUGCAAGGAGAGAUUUCUUUGAAGCUCCUCCAGUUGCAUGAGUAGAAAAACAUGAAACUGGCCCCAGAGAGAGAGGGCCUUUGCCACAAGCAAGGAUUUCUAUAUAAUCUAGCACAGUCACUUUUUACUCAGACUAAAGCAUCUCAGGAGACUCCAUCUUUCAUCUGCAAUGCUACCUGGUUACUGCUCAUAAGAAUCAUAUUAGUAUCUGCAUAGGCAUUUAGAACCACAUACCCACCCAUUGACAUCCUUGACCAGAAAGCAUAUCACUGAGGAACACACAGUUCCACCCACAUCCAUUUCUAUUUUGUUUGAAAGAAAUACUGAAGUAUUCUUCUCUUCUCUUCAGAAUAUGGAAGGCUGUUCAAGAUCCUUGAAGAAGUGCAAGGCCCUCUGGAAGUCAAGAUACAGCUUGUCGAGUUCUCCAUCAAGGAGGCGGCGAGAUUUAAAAGAUAUCACUUAACUCAAUGCCUUAAGAAGAAACUCGAAGAAUUCUUGUCUGAAAGCUUUUGCUACCACAAAUAAUCCACCACUUGUUAUGUAAUCCUGCUGUUACUGGGGUCAUCAUGAUGCAACAAAAAGUCUGUGUUUCAGAUUGUAGUAGGGAGAUGCUGAAAUGCAUUAUUUGUUAGCUAAGAAAAUUACCUUUAAGAAAAAUGGUUUUAAACUACUCUAGUAAAAGUUGGGCUUUGGCCCUUUGUAUUCUGUGUGGAAGCACAA